RNAcentral lists this long non-coding RNA (1389 nucleotides) under Homo sapiens (human). RNAcentral describes it as "HSALNT0393854". The record is from RNAcentral. Lineage: Eukaryota; Metazoa; Chordata; Mammalia; Primates; Hominidae.
AGCACAAAAUGCAGGCAUCCCUCAAAAGAAACACAUCCAAAUGGUUUUGCAAGUACCAUUAGCUAACGUGGUUGAGUGUCUUUAUGUGUAGAAUUACGUAAGGAGUAUGGAAGGCAGGUCAAGACCAAAGUGAAAUGGUGCGCCUGCUUUCUUGGGGUCCACUUGCCAUGGAAGACACGUUCACUCAUUCGUUCAUCCCACAAAUACUGAAAUCUCACCAUGAGCUGGCUCUGCACUAGAUGUGGGGACAUGACCCUAAAAGGGAGGGAGGCAUAGCAAACUAGUAUAGUGAAAGGGAUAAUCUGUAUUGGUUUGAAAGGGAUAAACUCUCUAAAUAAUGCCUGUGAGGUCUUAGGAGGCUGGAGUGAUGAAACUGGAUUGCAUUUUUCCAGGAAGAAGACCUCCUUGAGAAGAAAACGGAACAUGGCCCUAACAGUGGGCAGCAUGAAACUGAGGAACACAGCAGGAAGCUGAUUUAGGCAAACUCAGCAGGAACUGGCCAGAGGCUGGUAGGAGGAUUAUUAUGGGCAGGCUGGCUUUCCUCAACUCUUAAUAACACCACCACUCCACACAGAAAAGAACUUCUCUUAUGACUGCCCUCUUUUCCUCAUAAAUCCCUCAAUGAGUUUUCUGAGAAUGGGCCCAAUGGGCUGGCUGUUCUGGAAGGACUUUAAUCAGCUUUCUUCAUGAUGGACUGGAGGGAAAGGAAGUGUUCCCUGUGAACCCAUGAGACUUCAUCCCUGCGUUGGUCUGGCUGGCUUUCCCUGUGAGAUACAGGUUCCUCCUGAAGAGCUGAAGCUCCAUUCCAGCUCUAGACUUCUCCUUGCUUUCAGACUUCAAGAUGAGAAGCAUUUUUCCAGUCCACAAGUGUUAGAGGACACUGCCGAUGAUGUGUGUUUUGCCCAGGCUGGACUCAGCUUCUUUGUCUCGCAGCCUGGCGAAGAGGCAGUGCUGUGCCAGGAAAUAGCACCCAGGCAGGACUCCAGGGUGGGGACCGCUAAUCUGGCUUUGCCACAAUUUUGAAAGAAGAGUCAUGCUUCAAUUAAUAACAGACAACGGAGUCAAUAUGAAGGGAGCAGAGACAAUGAUGUGAUCAAAUGCCAAGAAAUGACUGACAGCAGAAAAAAUAUCAUGACCACUGUGGGAGGAGGUACUUUCUCUUUGUCAGAAGAACAGAAGCAAAUGGUCUGCUUAUAGCCUUUUAUGUGACGAUGUGCCCUUUCUGCCACUGCAAGGGAAAGAGUCAUCUUUGCUCCUCCAUUUUGGUUUAUCCUAAGAAAGACCAACACUAUGUCUAGCCCAGAGAGAGAAACACAUAAAAUAAAUACAAGUUAAAUCUUCAAUGGGACAUCAAGUUCCAUGUACAAGGCUAACCUAGACUAUAAAGUC